RNAcentral lists this ribosomal RNA (632 nucleotides) under uncultured fungus. RNAcentral's name for it is "eukaryotic LSU rRNA". The stretch from base 103 to 256 matches the Rfam family "5.8S ribosomal RNA". The record is from RNAcentral. Lineage: Eukaryota; Fungi.
UAGAUGGCAAACGGCGAGUUCAUCCUGCUUAGUAGUCUCUCUGUGUAUUCAAUAAACAUAUUUGUAUCAGAAUGUCUAUUUGCGAUAAUCGCAUGNAAAUACAACUUUCAGCAACGGAUCUCUUGGCUCUCGCAUCGAUGAAGAACGCAGCGAAAUGCGAUAAGUAAUGUGAAUUGCAGAAUUCAGUGAAUCAUCGAAUCUUUGAACGCACCUUGCACUCCUUGGUAUUCCGAGGAGUAUGCCUGUUUGAGUGUCAUGUUAUCCUCACUUUUCUCGGAUUUUCUUCUGAGAUAGAGUAGAAUUGGAAGCUGCUGGUUGCUAUCAAUCAGCUCUUCUUAAAUGUAUUAGUGUGAAUGUUACCAAUGUUCUCCAGUGUAAUAAUUAUUUGCGCUGCCGGGACACGGGUGAAAUAUAGAUUCAUGCUUCAAACCGUCUGCUACAGACAAUAUACUAUUGCAUUUGACCUCAAAUCAGGUAGGAUUACCCGCUGAACUUAAGCAUAUCAAUAAGCGGAGGAAAAGAAACUAACAAGGAUUCCCCUAGUAACUGCGAGUGAAGCGGGAAAAGCUCAAAUUUAAAAUCUGGCAGUCUUUGGCUGUCCGAGUUGUAAUCUAGAGAAGCGUCUUCCGUGC